RNAcentral lists this ribosomal RNA (207 nucleotides) under uncultured bacterium. RNAcentral's name for it is "partial 16S ribosomal RNA". It matches the Rfam family "Bacterial small subunit ribosomal RNA", at positions 568 to 774 of the family's 1533-position model. The record is from RNAcentral.
CGCGUAGGCGGCCGAUUAAGUCGGGGGUGAAAGCCUGUGGCUCAACCACAGAAUUGCCUUCGAUACUGGUUGGCUUGAGACCGGAAGAGGACAGCGGAACUGCGAGUGUAGGGGUGAAAUUCGUAGAUAUUCGGAGGAACACCAGUGGCGAAGGCGGCUUACUGGUCCAUUACUGACGCUGAGGUGCGAAAGCGUGGGGAGCAAACA